AACGAACGCUGGCGGCAGGCUUAACACAUGCAAGUCGAACGAUGUAGCAAUACAUAGUGGCGCACGGGUGAGUAACGCGUGGGAAUAUACCUUGUAGUGGGGAAUAACGUUGGGAAACUAACGCUAAUACCGCAUACGCCCGAGAGGGGAAAGAUUUAUCGCUAUAAGAUUAGCCCGCGUGCGAUUAGGUAGUUGGUGGGGUAAUGGCCUACCAAGCCUACGAUCUCUAGCUGGUCUGAGAGGAUGAUCAGCCACACUGGAACUGAGACACGGGCCAGACUCCUACGGGAGGCAGCAGUGGGGAAUAUUGGGCAAUGGAGGAAACUCUGACCCAGCCAUGCCGCGUGAAUGAUGAAGGCCUUAGGGUUGUAAAGUUCUUUCGCCGAUGAAGAUAAUGACGGUAGUCGGAGAAGAAGCCCCGGCUAACUUCGUGCCAGCAGCCGCCGUAA
RNAcentral lists this ribosomal RNA (449 nucleotides) under uncultured bacterium. RNAcentral's name for it is "partial 16S ribosomal RNA". It matches the Rfam family "Bacterial small subunit ribosomal RNA", at positions 29 to 523 of the family's 1533-position model. The record is from RNAcentral.